Phrynosoma platyrhinos (Desert horned lizard) is the source of this 70-nucleotide non-coding RNA. The record is from the annotation of a GenBank genome assembly. Lineage: Eukaryota; Metazoa; Chordata; Lepidosauria; Squamata; Phrynosomatidae.
GCCAGUAUGGCAUAGUGGUUAAGCAUUGGACUACGACUCUGGAACCAGGGUUUGAUUCCCUAUUGGGCCA